Long non-coding RNA from Sarcophilus harrisii (Tasmanian devil), 1138 nucleotides. RefSeq lists it as uncharacterized. The record is from RefSeq and is a predicted model, not a curated record. The transcript has 4 exons. NCBI's taxonomy places the organism in Eukaryota, Metazoa, Chordata, Mammalia, Dasyuromorphia, Dasyuridae.
GCUGCUCCUCUUCCCCCUCCCCAAGCUCCCUCCCUCCUCACGCCUCUCCGCGCAGUCGUGGGAUCUUGGAAGAAAGCGUCCAUUAAAGCAACGUGUGACCAUGUAAGGAUCUAAGUAUUCCACAAUGCCUGCUUCAGCUGCCUUCAUGUUGUUGGAACAAUCUAUUCUUAUCUGCUCAUUCUGCUGAGGAAAGUCUUCAUAUCCUUGGAGUAGACACUCCCAGAACUCAUCAAAGUAUUUGAAGCCUGAAGGUUACUCUCAACAUGAUUUAGGCCAUAUGCUGAGAUGGUUUGCCAGAAUAUGGCCACUGCCCUUGCUACUGCUUCUUGGAACCACAGGUUGAAUUCUCUUCAAAGACAAAAUAGUUGUCCAUUUUAAUGAACAUUGAAAGCUUUCAAGGAGCUGCAUUCAUCAAGACAAUCUGGCUCUUGUUCACCAACUUCUUAGUUUAAAAGCAAGUUUCUUAAGUGGUCUCAAAUCAACAUUGUCAAACACUGCUGGAACCAGUAAAUGUGAUAUUGUUGAAAUGGAAGCAUAUCCAUUACCAUUGAGUCUACCAGGAUAAGAGUCCUCUGCCUGAGAAUGAACCAGUGUCUGCAGUCCUCAGGGACAUUCUAUCUGCCUGGAACUAUAUAUACUACCUAAGAAGUCAAACGUGGAGAAAUUAUAAGCCCUGAUAAUUCUUUGUCUUCCCAUGAAUUUACUUUACUAUUCAUAUUUACUUACAUAUACUACUUACUAUUCAUAUUUAAUUUCCUAUUUCACAUGUUGUUUUCCCCCAAUAGAAUGUAAGCUCCCUGAGAGGAGGGACUAUCUCAUAUUUUUCUUUGCAUCCCCAAUACUUAGCUUAAUAAAUGCUUGGUGAAUUGAAUUGAAUCAUUAAAGUUGUAUUGUUGAAGAGCUCAGACCUAGUCCCUUUUCUUGACAGAAAUAAGAGUUGCAAAACAUAUCCUUCCUUGACAUGGGACAGACACUUAGUGGAAAAAACAAAUACAACUGAUGUGUAAGUCCAUAUUAAUAUUAAUUUUAUCUUCCUGCCAAACAUCAAGAGAUCCAGAGUAAAAAUAGUAAUUAAGCAGGUAUCUCAUAACAACAGUUGGGGGGGAAAACAAUUCAAGGUUCUUUUCUAUUUUUAUUU